UAAUGGUUGAGUUUGGUGAUGGCUCUGAUUGAAUGCUGUUCAAGUGCUUGACACAUGCUAAUCGUACGUUUUAAUUUCUAACAUUAAGUAACUACUAUACUAAAGGUUAUUAAUUAAAAAGUGGUGUACAGGUGAGUAUAAAGAUAUAAUUCGCCGGCCUUAAAGAGAAGGUAAAUCCUUCAUAAUAAAUAAAAGGGUACAGUUCCUGCUUUAAGAGGAUGAUAAAUAUCUUCGGGAUAGGUAGUAGUUAAGGUGAUGACUUAACUAGCCGACAACUCUCGUAGUCGAAUCUGAAAGGUUGAUCGACCACAUUGGGUCUGAAAAAACCCCAAUGCAAAUUAGUACAGCAGUGAGGAAUUUUGGUCAAUGGCCUAACGGCUGAACUGGCAACUUGGAGAAGUGGCAAGUCCUAUUUUGAUCAUAUCCUAAAAGAUGAUCUAUAGGAUUGUAUUAAAAUUGAAUAAAGCUUUGUUUAUAUAUUGAUAAUGACAGUAUAUAUAUCGUGUCUUGACUAAUUACGUGCCAGCAGUCGCGGAAAUACGUAAGAGACUAGUAUUAUUCAUCUUAAUUGGGUUUAAAGGGUACCUAGACGGUCAAUAUAGCUUAUAUAAUGUUAGUACUUGACUAGAGUUUUAUAUGAGAGGGGAGUACUUGAGGAGGAGAGAUGAAAUUCUUUGAUACCAAAGGGACUCGGUAAAGGCGAAGGCACCCCUUUAGGUAAAAACUGACGUUGAGGGACGAAGGCACAGAGAACAAACAGGAUUAGAUACCCAAGUAGUCUUUGCAGUAAAUGAUGAAUGCCAUAGAUUAGAUGAAGAAUUUAAUAACUUAGUUCGUCAGUAAACAAUUAAUAUUAAAUCUUGUUUGGUCUAUAAAUGAAAGUGUAAGCAUUCCACCUCAAGAGUAAUGUGGCAACGCAGGAACUGAAAUCACUAGACCGUUUCUGACAACAGUAGUG
This 958-nucleotide non-coding RNA is filed under the name Ophiocordyceps sinensis CO18. RNAcentral describes it as "Bacterial small subunit ribosomal RNA". It matches the Rfam family "Bacterial small subunit ribosomal RNA", at positions 1 to 934 of the family's 1533-position model. The record is from Rfam by way of RNAcentral. Lineage: Eukaryota; Fungi; Ascomycota; Sordariomycetes; Hypocreales; Ophiocordycipitaceae.